This 424-nucleotide ribosomal RNA is filed under the name uncultured bacterium. RNAcentral's name for it is "bacterial SSU rRNA". It matches the Rfam family "Bacterial small subunit ribosomal RNA", at positions 376 to 793 of the family's 1533-position model. The record is from RNAcentral.
CGCAAGCCUGAUGCAGCCAUGCCGCGUGUGUGAAGAAGGCCUUCGGGUUGUAAAGCACUUUCAGUUGUGAGGAAGGUGGUGUCGUUAAUAGCGGCAUCAUUUGACGUUAGCAACAGAAGAAGCACCGGCUAACUCCGUGCCAGCAGCCGCGGUAAUACGGAGGGUGCGAGCGUUAAUCGGAAUUACUGGGCGUAAAGCGCAUGCAGGUGGUUUGUUAAGUCAGAUGUGAAAGCCCGGGGCUCAACCUCGGAACUGCAUUUGAAACUGGCAGACUAGAGUACUGUAGAGGGGGUAGAAUUUCAGGUGUAGCGGUGAAAUGCGUAGAGAUCUGAAGGAAUACCGGUGGCGAAGGCGGCCCCCUGGACAGAUACUGACACUCAGAUGCGAAAGCGUGGGGAGCAAACAGGAUUAGAUACCCUGGUAG